Molecule: ribosomal RNA, 326 nt
Filed under: uncultured Proleptomonas
Lineage: Eukaryota; Cercozoa; Glissomonadida
Description: SSU rRNA
Rfam family: Eukaryotic small subunit ribosomal RNA (bases 103-326)
Source: RNAcentral
GAUUUCUGAUAUAAUAUUACUGUCCCGCUGUGGUUACACAUGUGAGUGACGGAUAAUAUUUAUCUGUUUUGUGUUUUUUUGUAUUAUAAUGUGAAAGCAUUCUAAUAACAAUACACAUCUUUUACUUUGAACAAAUUAGAGUGUUUCAAGCAGGCAUUUAUGCCUUGAAUACAUGAGCAUGGAAUAAUCAUCGAGGACUUUUAGUUCUAUGUUGAUUGGUUCUAGAACUAUAGUAAUGAUGGAUAGGGAUAGUUGGGGGUGCUAGUAUUCCGAGGCCAGAGGUGAAAUUCUUGGAUUCUCGGAAGACUCACUUAGGCGAAAGCAUU